UUCGGAGUGAGCGGCGGACGGGUUAGUAACGCGUGGGAACGUACCCAGAUCUGCGGAAUAGCCACUGGAAACGGUGAGUAAUACCGCAUACGCCCUUUGGGGGAAAGAUUUAUCGGAUUUGGAUCGGCCCGCGUUAGAUUAGGUAGUUGGUGGGGUAACGGCCUACCAAGCCUACGAUCUAUAGCUGGUUUUAGAGGAUGAUCAGCAACACUGGGACUGAGACACGGCCCAGACUCCUACGGGAGGCAGCAGUGGGGAAUCUUGGACAAUGGGCGCAAGCCUGAUCCAGCCAUGCCGCGUGAGUGAUGAAGGCCUUAGGGUCGUAAAGCUCUUUCGCCUGUGAAGAUAAUGACGGUAGCAGGUAAAGAAACCCCGGCUAACUCCGUGCCAGCAGCCGCGGUAAUACGGAGGGGGUUAGCGUUGUUCGGAAUUACUGGGCGUAAAGCGCGCGUAGGCGGACUAUUAAGUCAGGGGUGAAAUCCCGGGGCUCAACCCCGGAACUGCCUUUGAUACUGGUAGUCUAGAGUUCGAGAGAGGUGAGUGGAAUUCCGAGUGUAGAGGUGAAAUUCGUAGAUAUUCGGAGGAACACCAGUGGCGAAGGCGGCUCACUGGCUCGAUACUGACGCUGAGGUGCGAAAGC
This 640-nucleotide ribosomal RNA is filed under the name uncultured bacterium. Its description in RNAcentral is "bacterial SSU rRNA". It matches the Rfam family "Bacterial small subunit ribosomal RNA", at positions 85 to 760 of the family's 1533-position model. The record is from RNAcentral.